Molecule: small nucleolar RNA, 69 nt
Filed under: Notamacropus eugenii (tammar wallaby)
Lineage: Eukaryota; Metazoa; Chordata; Mammalia; Diprotodontia; Macropodidae
Description: Small nucleolar RNA SNORD18 (ENSMEUG00000017401.1)
Rfam family: Small nucleolar RNA SNORD18
About the family: U18 is a member of the C/D class of snoRNA which contain the C (UGAUGA) and D (CUGA) box motifs. It is encoded in introns of ribosomal protein L1 in Xenopus and human, and in introns of elongation factor 1 beta in yeast.
Source: RNAcentral
UGAACAUGAGAUUCCACUUAAUUGGUCCAUGUUUCUGAAGCCUGUGAUAUUAGCGGAGGUUCUGAUUCU